CCCUUAGAUGUUCUGGGCCGCACGCGUGCUACACUGAGUGGAUCAGCGGGUCAGGUUGCGCGAAAGCGUUUCCUAAUCUUUAAAUCCGCUCGUGAUGGGGAUUGACGGUUGCAAUUUUCUGUCAUGAACGAGGAAUACCUUGUAAGCGCGGGUCAUCAUCCCGCGCUGAAUACGUUCCUGCCCUUUGUACACACCGCCCGUCGCUCCUACCGAUUGAGUGGUCCGGUGAGGCUUUGGGAUCUGAGCGGAAAGAGCGUUUCGCUGUUUCUGCUCGGAAAACUCAGUCGAACCUUAUCAUUUAGAGGAAGGAGAAGUCGUAACA
RNAcentral lists this ribosomal RNA (322 nucleotides) under uncultured eukaryote. RNAcentral describes it as "partial 18S ribosomal RNA". It matches the Rfam family "Eukaryotic small subunit ribosomal RNA", at positions 1470 to 1796 of the family's 1831-position model. The record is from RNAcentral.